UACGGGAGGCAGCAGUGGGGAAUAUUGCACAAUGGGCGAAAGCCUGAUGCAGCUAUGCCGCGUGUAUGAAGAAGGCCUUAGGGUUGUAAAGUACUUUCAUCGGGGAGGAAAAACAAAACUAAUAAUUUUAUUUCUUGACGUUACCCGAAAAAGAAGCACCGGCUAACUCCGUGCCAGCAGCCGCGGUAAUACGGAGGGUGCUAGCGUUAAUCAGAAUUACUGGGCGUAAAGAGCACGUAGGUGGUUUUUUUAAGUCAGAUGUGAAAUCCCUGGGCUUAACCUAGGAACUGCAUUUUGAAACUGAAAUACUAGAGUAUCGUAGAGGGAGGUAGAAUUCUAGGUGUAGCGGUGAAAUGCGUAGAUAUCUGGAGGAAUACCUGUGGCGAAAGCGGCCUCCUAAACGAAUACUGACACUGAGGGUGCGAAAGGCGUGGGGAGCGAAACAGGGAUUAGAUACC
This 458-nucleotide ribosomal RNA is filed under the name uncultured bacterium. Its description in RNAcentral is "bacterial SSU rRNA". It matches the Rfam family "Bacterial small subunit ribosomal RNA", at positions 340 to 786 of the family's 1533-position model. The record is from RNAcentral.